This is a non-coding RNA of Plectropomus leopardus (leopard coralgrouper), 274 nucleotides long. The record is from RefSeq and is a predicted model, not a curated record. NCBI's taxonomy places the organism in Eukaryota, Metazoa, Chordata, Actinopteri, Perciformes, Serranidae.
UCAUGUGACAUCACAGGGGCGACGGCCAGCGUCACUAAGUACUUCCUGCAGUCGGAGGCGGCGGAAGCUCGAGCGAACGCCUCCACUAUUGACCCCGGCAGCCCCGUGGAAACCUCUGGGGCUUUACGGCAGCUGACAGAGGACCGACUGAACCAGACCAGGGAGGGGUUCCUGAAAGGGCAUACUGAGCAUGCUCAGAGGCUGGACGACCUGGCAGGACAGCUGCAGACUCUGGACCAAUCAGAGCUCAGCCACAAGAUCUGCGGCAGUCCAG